RNAcentral lists this unclassified non-coding RNA (3299 nucleotides) under Hevea brasiliensis (rubber tree). The record is from RNAcentral. Lineage: Eukaryota; Viridiplantae; Streptophyta; Magnoliopsida; Malpighiales; Euphorbiaceae.
AGAAGAAGAAGAAGAAGAAGACGAGCAUUUCUACGAGUCCCUUGAUCGCAUUGCUUCUUCGUCUUGUUCCUGCUCCGUUUCCAACUCCGAUUCCGAUCCCGACCGCAACCCGACCCACUCCAAUUCCAGUUCCAACUCCCCCGGUAAUAUUGUUGACCACCCAUUUCCGCUUCCUAAAUUCCCCUUGGGUGUAUCCAAGUACGAUGUUUGGAUCUCUGAGCCCGCUUCGGUGUCGGAGCGUCGCCAACGCUUGCUCCAUCAGAUGGGCCUUAGCUCCGACCUUUCUCUGUCCCGGGCCAAACCCGAGGGAGAUUUCAACUUUAACCGCUCCGUCUCAUCGGAUCACUUGAGUCGGGAAGGAGCCGGUCCCAGUACUUCUGGAGGCAUCGUCCGGUCGAAAUCAGACGGUGCCGGUUCGAGAACCGAUCGGAACGGUGGUGAUGACAAGUGUAAUGUUGAUUUUAAUUCGUAUUCUUCUUCUUCUCUUUUAUCCGUUUAUUCUCCUCGGAUUCUUUCACAUGAUUUAAUGAAUGUAAAUAACUGUAACUCCAAUUGUGAAAAAAACAACGACAACAAUAAUGUUGUUGUUUUUGGUAGCAAAAAAUCCACCAACGUUUUUUCUUCCAAAGCUACUGCUCUUUCCCCUAAUAGGCCGCCUGCUGGUAAAUAUGAUAGGAAAAUGGAUGCCUAUCGAUCUGAUUCCACGAAUUCAAAUGGUAAUUUGAAUGGAAGUUGCUCAAACACCAGUUUGGGAGAGCUUGUGGAGGAAUUGGAUCGUAAUGGGGUUGGUGGCAUUGAUACUGCAGCAGCAACCCAAGUGUGUACCAUUAAGAAUCUGGAUAAUGGGAAAGAGUUUGUGGUUAAUGAGAUAAGGGAAGAUGGGACGUGGAACAAGUUGAAAGAAGUGGGGACUGGGAGGCAGUUGACGAUGGAAGAGUUUGAAAUCUGUGUGGGGCAUUCACCAAUCGUGCAAGAAUUGAUGAGGAGGCAAAAUGUCGAAGAUGCUACCAGAGAAAAUCUCGAUUCCAACACCAAUGGAGGUGUUGGAGUCGGUGUUUCAAAGUUGAAAAAGAAGGGUAGUUGGCUUAGGGGCAUCAGGAGUGUGACAAGUAGUGUAAAGGGGAAUAAAGAGAGAAGAAGUAGUGAUGAGAGGGAUACUGGGUCUGACAAGGGAGGAAGGAGGUCAAGUUCUGCAACAGAUGACAGCCAGGACGUGUCAUUUCAAGGGCCUGAGAAAGUGAGGGUAAGGCAAUAUGGGAAGUCGUUCAAAGAAUUGAGUUCACUUUACAAGAGUCAGGAGAUACAGGCGCAUAAUGGGUCCAUAUGGAGUAUUAAGUUUAGUUUAGAUGGUAGGCAUCUAGCAAGUGCUGGUGAGGAUCGUGUGAUUCACGUUUGGCGAGUUAUCCAGGGGGAGAGAAAAGGGGAGCUGUUGAAUGAUAAACCAGAGGAUGGGAAUUUUAACUUUUUGUUGACAGCAAAUUGGUCACCUGAACCUUCUUUGUUGUCACCAACAGCAGAUGGUCAUCACGAGAAGAGGAGGAGAGGGAGGACAUCUAUAAGUAGAAAAUCUUUGAGCUUGGACCGCAUUGUUGAGCCAGAGACUGUGUUUGCACUUACAGAUAAACCCAUUUGUUCAUUCCAAGGACAUCUAGAUGAUGUGCUUGACCUUUCAUGGUCCAAUUCUCAGCACCUCCUUUCUUCUUCAAUGGACAAAACAGUGCGUCUCUGGCACUUGUCUAGCAAGACUUGUUUGAAAAUAUUCUCUCACAGUGAUUACGUAACUUGCAUCCAGUUUAAUCCUGUUGAUGAUAGAUACUUCAUUAGUGGGUCCCUAGAUGCAAGGGUUCGCAUAUGGAGCAUUCCUGAUCAUCAAGUUGUCGAUUGGAAUGAUCUGCAUGAGAUGGUCACUGCUGCUUGCUAUACUCCAGAUGGCCAGGGUGCACUUGUUGGCUCAUACAAGGGAAGCUGCCGUUUAUACAGUACAUCUGAGAAUAAGUUGCAAAUGAAAUGUCAAAUUAAUCUGCAGAAUAAGAAGAAAAAAGCUCAUCUCAAAAAAAUCACUGGAUUCCAGUUUGGGUGGGGAAGUUCAUCAAAGGUGCUCAUCACAUCAGCAGAUUCUCGAAUCCGAGUUAUUGAUGGUGUUGAUUUGGUUCACAAGUUCAAAGGUAUGGAGGCAUAUUGUUUCUUUUCUUGUUAUUUCUAGCCACAUGUAAUGAAACCAUACCUGAAGGUUUUAUUUUGAAAACUGAUUUUGUUGAUCAAGUCAAUAAUACCUGAAUAUGAAACUGCCAAAAUUAGCAUUUGUUACCACCUAUAGUGUGAAUGGACUUUAAGCGCCUUCAUUGUCUGUAUUUACCAGACUUCAAAUAGAAGGAAACUAUUAAGCUAUUUGUGUCUACUCUUUAUUUUCAAUGGCAUCCAAGGCAACGUGCUAAAUUAAUUUUUGCCAGAUUGUAGGUGUAUUUUUUCCAUCAUCUCAUUACAUCGGACAGUAUUAUCUCAAUUCACCUCUAUCCCAAUUACGCUCUAGGGAACUUCUGAAACUCUUUUAGAAUGUAUUUUCAAGGCGUAUUCUGGAGCGUACACUGAGGUGAAACUGCCUUGGGGUAAAAUGGUGUCAAAUUGUCUUGAAGUGCAUUUAGUUGAGUGAGGCACCUAUAUUCAUGAACCUUAGGAGGCAAAGCAUAUGCUUGACUACAAUAUCCUAUUUAUCUUAUGGUUGCACUUUCUAGGUUACUGCUUUGACCUUCAGUUGAUUCAGACAACAUACUGUAAUUGAAUUAAAAUGGUACUCACUGCUUUUUAAUUUGAUAGGUGAUUCCAAUUAAAGUGGCCACCCUUGCUUUCAGCCAGCUUUUCCAAAGGCAUUUGUAGUUUAUUGUUAUUUUUUUACAGCACUAUUUUAAUAUUGAGAUAUUAUCGAACAAUGUCUGUCUUGCUUAUAUUCAAUUAUAAUGGUUAAGAUGGUUCUAAUUAAUAUCGUGCUGCACCUUGCAUAAUGAUGGGUAAAACACCUAUAUUUUAUACACUUUCACCAUUAUAGCAAAGUCCUGAAAAAUGUGGCAACUUGUUUAAUUUCAUGUAUUUCUGUUCCCUUUGUGGCUUCUUUUAAGGAGUGUUGCUCGAGUAAUGAAAUCGGAAGAUUGGAUGAGCUGAGCAAAAUCUAUUUUUUAAAAUUCCAGUUAGUAGUUUAUCCUAUCUGACUGCUUAUCCUGUAGGGGGUGAGACUGAUGGGGAGGAGUCAAUUUGUUCAUACCGUUAAAAAAACUCUAGUUUUACCUUAGGACACAAGUUUGUUA